GAUGAACGCUGGCGGCGUGCUUAACACAUGCAAGUCGAACGAAGCACUUUAUUUGAUUUCCUUCGGGACUGAUUAUUUUGUGACUGAGUGGCGGACGGGUGAGUAACGCGUGGGUAACCUGCCUUGUACAGGGGGAUAACAGUUGGAAACGGCUGCUAAUACCGCAUAAGCGCACAGCAUCGCAUGAUGCAGUGUGAAAAACUCCGGUGGUAUAAGAUGGACCCGCGUUGGAUUAGCUAGUUGGUGAGGUAACGGCCCACCAAGGCGACGAUCCAUAGCCGACCUGAGAGUGUGACCGGCCACAUUGGGACUGAGACACGGCCCAAACUCCUACGGGAGGCAGCAGUGGGGAAUAUUGCACAAUGGGCGAAAGCCUGAUGCAGCGACGCCGCGUGAGCGAAGAAGUAUUUCGGUAUGUAAAGCUCUAUAAGCAGGGAAGAUAAUGACGGUACCUGACGAAGAAGCACCGGCUAAAUACGUG
This 481-nucleotide ribosomal RNA is filed under the name uncultured bacterium. RNAcentral describes it as "partial 16S ribosomal RNA". It matches the Rfam family "Bacterial small subunit ribosomal RNA", at positions 28 to 507 of the family's 1533-position model. The record is from RNAcentral.